RNAcentral lists this non-coding RNA (30 nucleotides) under Mus musculus (house mouse). The record is from RNAcentral. Lineage: Eukaryota; Metazoa; Chordata; Mammalia; Rodentia; Muridae.
CACUGCCUUAAAAGUUCUAGACUGUGUUCC